GGGGAAAUAAAUGAGGUAGGAACACAGCCUGUCACACCUUAAAGAAAAAGGUUAGCCUUUUUGUUGAAC
Molecule: long non-coding RNA, 69 nt
Organism: Sander lucioperca (pikeperch)
Lineage: Eukaryota; Metazoa; Chordata; Actinopteri; Perciformes; Percidae
Exons: 4
Source: RefSeq, a predicted model, not a curated record